This 497-nucleotide ribosomal RNA is filed under the name uncultured bacterium. RNAcentral's name for it is "partial 16S ribosomal RNA". It matches the Rfam family "Bacterial small subunit ribosomal RNA", at positions 28 to 507 of the family's 1533-position model. The record is from RNAcentral.
GACGAACGCUGGCGGCGUGCCUAACACAUGCAAGUCGAACGGUGAAGCGCCUUCCUUUUUGGUGGGUGUGGAUGAGUGGCGAACGGGUGAGUAACACGUGAGUAACCUGCCCCCUUCUUCUGGAUAACCGCAUGACAGUGUGGCUAACACCGGAUAUUCUGGGUCUGUCGCAUGAUGGGUCUGGGGCAGAUUUUGUUUCGGUGGGGGAUGGGCUCGCGGCCUAUUAGCUUGUUGGUGGGGUGAUGGCGUACCAAGGCGGUGACGAGUAGCCGGCCUGCGAGGAGGAUGGGCGGCAACACAGGGGCGGCGACGUCGAGCAUACUCCGAGGGGAAGCAGCAGGGAAGAUUACGGCACGGUGGGCAGAAGGAUGAUGCAGCGACGCGGGGUUGAGGAUGGAGGCCGGCGUGUUGAGAACCUCUUUCGGGGGUGAAGCAAGCCUGGCUCAUUUGUGGAUGGGUUGACGGUAGCUGGAGAAGAAGCGCCGGCUAACUACGUG